UACGUAGGGUGCGAGCGUUAAUCGGAAUUACUGGGCGUAAAGCGUGCGCAGGCGGUGAUGUAAGCCAGAUGUGAAAUCCCCGGGCUUAACCUGGGAAUGGCAUUUGGGACUGCAAGGCUUGAGUGCGGCAGAGGAGACUGGAAUUCCCGGUGUAGCAGUGAAAUGCGUAGAUAUCGGGAGGAAUACCGAUGGCGAAGGCAGGUCUCUGGGCUGACACUGACGCUCAUGCACGAAAGCGUGGGGAGCAAACAGG
RNAcentral lists this ribosomal RNA (253 nucleotides) under uncultured bacterium. RNAcentral describes it as "partial 16S ribosomal RNA". It matches the Rfam family "Bacterial small subunit ribosomal RNA", at positions 524 to 776 of the family's 1533-position model. The record is from RNAcentral.